GGGGAAUUUUGCGCAAUGGGGGAAACCCUGACGCAGCAACGCCGCGUGAGUGAUGAAGGCUUUCGGGUCGUAAAGCUCUGUCUAGAGGGAAGAAAUGAUAAUUGGUUAAUACCCGGUUUUCUUGACGGUACCUCUGAAGGAAGCACCGGCUAACUCCGUGCCAGCAGCCGCGGUAAUACGGAGGGUGCAAGCGUUGUUCGGAUUUAUUGGGCGUAAAGCGCGUGUAGGCGGUUUGUUAAGUCUGAUGUGAAAGCCCUGGGCUCAACCUGGGAAGUGCAUUGGAAACUGGCAGACUUGAAUACGGGAGAGGGUAGUGGAAUUCCUAGUGUAGGAGUGAAAUCCGUAGAUAUUAGGAGGAACACCGGUGGCGAAGGCGGCUACCUGGACCGAUAUUGACGCUGAGACGCGAAAGCGUGGGGAGCAAAC
Molecule: ribosomal RNA, 426 nt
Filed under: uncultured bacterium
Lineage: Bacteria
Description: bacterial SSU rRNA
Rfam family: Bacterial small subunit ribosomal RNA
Source: RNAcentral